AAAAAAAAUCGCCUGUUUAUCAAAAACAUUUCUAUUAAAAUAAUUAAUAGUAAGGUCUGCUCAGUGAAAUUAAAUAGCCGCAAGUCGUGCUAAGGUAGCAUAAUCAUUUGUCUUUUAAAUAAGGACUAGAACAAAAGAUUUAACAUUUCAGUUUAUUUUUCUAAUUUAAGUUAACAAAAUUUUAUUAAAUGUAAAAAGACAUUUAUACUGUAGAAAGACGAUAAGACCCUAUCGAACUUAACUUAUGUUUAACUGGGGCAGUUAGUUAAUUAUUAUUUUAAAAAUAAAUAAUAUUUACAAAUCCACUAUAAUUGAAUUAUUCAGUUACCAUAGGGAUAACAGCAUAAUUAUAUUUUUAAGCUCGCAUUUAUAAUAUAAAUUGUGACCUCGAUGUUGAAUUAAAAACCUGAUUAGGGCAAGACUUAUAAUAAGGGGGUCUGUUCGACCCUUAAACAUUUACCUGAUCUGAGUUCAGACCGGA
Molecule: ribosomal RNA, 481 nt
Filed under: Synagelides agoriformis
Lineage: Eukaryota; Metazoa; Arthropoda; Arachnida; Araneae; Salticidae
Description: partial 16S ribosomal RNA
Rfam family: Bacterial large subunit ribosomal RNA
Source: RNAcentral